This 472-nucleotide ribosomal RNA is filed under the name uncultured flagellate. Its description in RNAcentral is "bacterial SSU rRNA". It matches the Rfam family "Eukaryotic small subunit ribosomal RNA", at positions 864 to 1340 of the family's 1831-position model. The record is from RNAcentral.
AAUGAUUGAUAGGGACGGUUGUGGGUGCUAGUAUUCAGCCGGCAGAGGUGUUAUUCUCAGAUCCGCUAAGACUAACUUAUGCGAAAGCUUUCACCAAGGAUGUCUUCUUUAAUCAAGAACAAAAGUUUGGGGUUGAAAACGAUCAGAUACCGUCGUAGUCUCAACCAUAAACUAUGCCAGUAGAGAUGUGAGUCGUUGCAUUUUCGACUUCAUUCGCUCCUUUUGUGUGUUCAUAGCAAUUGGGUUCUUGGGGGAGUAUGGUCAACAGGCUGAAACUGAAGGGAUUUAUUGGAAGGGCACCACCAGGAAUGCAUCCUGCGGCUUAAUUUGACUCAACACGGGAAAACUUACCAGGUCCAGACACAGUAAGGAUUGACAGAUUGAAGAUCUUUCUUGAUUCUGUGGGUGGUGGUGCAUGGCCGUUCUUAGUUGGUGGAGUGAUUUGACUCGUUAAUUCCCUUAAGCAACGAGA